Molecule: ribosomal RNA, 875 nt
Filed under: Cassava witches'-broom aster yellows phytoplasma
Lineage: Bacteria; Bacillati; Mycoplasmatota; Mollicutes; Acholeplasmatales; Acholeplasmataceae
Description: bacterial SSU rRNA
Rfam family: Bacterial small subunit ribosomal RNA
Source: RNAcentral
AUUGGGACUGAGACACGGCCCAAACUCCUACGGGAGGCAGCAGUAGGGAAUUUUCGGCAAUGGAGGAAACUCUGACCGAGCAACGCCGCGUGAACGAUGAAGUAUUUCGGUACGUAAAGUUCUUUUAUUAGGGAAGAAUAAAUGAUGGAAAAAUCAUUCUGACGGUACCUAAUGAAUAAGCCCCGGCUAACUAUGUGCCAGCAGCCGCGGUAAUACAUAGGGGGCAAGCGUUAUCCGGAAUUAUUGGGCGUAAAGGGUGCGUAGGCGGUUAAAUAAGUUUAUGGUCUAAGUGCAAUGCUCAACAUUGUGAUGCUAUAAAAACUGUUUAGCUAGAGUAAGAUAGAGGCAAGUGGAAUUCCAUGUGUAGUGGUAAAAUGCGUAAAUAUAUGGAGGAACACCAGUAGCGAAGGCGGCUUGCUGGGUCUUUACUGACGCUGAGGCACGAMAGCGUGGGGAGCAAACAGGAUUAGAUACCCUGGUAGUCCACGCCGUAAACGAUGAGUACUAAACGUUGGGUAAAACCAGUGUUGAAGUUAACACAUUAAGUACUCCGCCUGAGUAGUACGUACGCAAGUAUGAAACUUAAAGGAAUUGACGGGACUCCGCACAAGCGGUGGAUCAUGUUGUUUAAUUCGAAGGUACCCGAAAAACCUCACCAGGUCUUGACAUGCUUCUGCAAAGCUGUAGAAACACAGUGGAGGUUAUCAGUUGCACAGGUGGUGCAUGGUUGUCGUCAGCUCGUGUCGUGAGAUGUUGGGUUAAGUCCCGCAACGAGCGCAACCCUUAUUGUUAGUUACCAGCACGUAAUGGUGGGGACUUUAGCAAGACUGCCAGUGAUAAAUUGGAGGAAGGUGGGGACGACGUCAAAUCAUCAU